This 2946-nucleotide long non-coding RNA is filed under the name Zostera marina. RNAcentral describes it as "long non-coding RNA (ZMAR_LNC005231)". The record is from RNAcentral. Lineage: Eukaryota; Viridiplantae; Streptophyta; Magnoliopsida; Alismatales; Zosteraceae.
ACCAGUGUACUUGGGAAGAGGUUUGGGAUUGUACUUUUCGGAGUAUAGGGGGAAUCCAUGGGGACCCAUUGGUUCUUCUGGUGUGGUUGCCCUCUUCUUGCUCUUCUCCCUAUCAGACCAAGCAGACCAGUUCUCUUCAGUGGAUACACAGUUGGCUGAGCCCUGUGGUUUUGUUUCAGCAAUUGGUGUCACAGUGGGGUUUGGCUUCUUUGUGAAUGUUGUCCCCCUGGAUGAUGAUGGAUAUCCAUGCUGAACAAAGCACUUCUCAUCACUGUGCCCAAAGGCUGCACAGUGAAAGCAAUAGUACCUUGUAUUCACUUGUUUUCCACUUUUGUAAUAUAAAGGUUCUGUUGGAGUAGGUGGUCUCUUCCUUGGGUUUUGAGAUGCAGGAGCCUGUUUAGGUGUGUGAGAUGAUGUAGCAUUGUUGUUGGUGAAUUGCCUGUUUUGACUUUGGUUUCUGGCUGAGUAGAAAGCAGAUGCUUGGUGAUUGUUAUUGUGCUCAGAGAGUUGCAGCUGUGACUCUUCAUGUAUCACCAUGGAGUAGACUCUACCAAAAUUAGGCAGCUUUUCCAGUGAUAGAAUGUGAGAUCUGACUUGCCUGAAGUCAUCCCUCAGUCCCAUGAGGAACUUCCUGAUUUUGAGCCUAUCCUCCUUGUCAUUGACCCUGCCAGUCAUGUUACAUUCACAUUUUCCACAGCUGCAUUGGGGUGUCUCCCCAUAUGCAUCAACUUUCCUCCAGAUGGACUUGAGGUUUGUACAAAAUUUUGACACACUGUCACUUCCUUGUUGCAUCAGGGUAGCAUCUUGGGACAGUUGGUAUAUGUGCGUUUCGUUGGACUGCCUGAAUUGAUCUUUGAGAUCAUUCCAGACUAUGGAUGCAUCAUCUGUAUACAUUAUUUGAGCUGCUAUGUCCUUGGAGACUGAGCUCCAGAUCCAUUGCCUGACCACCCCAUGACAGGUGAUCCAGGCUUCAAGUUCCUCUGCCUCAGAGUCAGCAGGUCUCCUCAUGGUACCAAGAACAAAUCCCAACUUCCUUCUUGUCAACAAUAUGGUUGUCACCUCUCUACUCCAUGGGUAGUAGUUCUGACUCCCUUGCAGGACAUUGAUCACUGACAAGGGGCCUGGAUCAGAGGAUUUGAUGUAGUAGGGAGAUGUUGGGUCAAAGAGAGGACCUCCUCUUGGUCUUUUUUCAACAGCACCAGACAUUUUUUGGAUCUGUUGAAAUUGUAGAAGUAUGUCAAUAAGAUAUGUGGAUGUAUUUUACACUGAUAACAAAUGAAGAUCAUAUUUGAGUUUGAAUUGAAUCGUAAUAUAAAUUUGAAAUCGUUUAGAUCAUUGGUGACUAGCAUUUGUAUAUGAUUCAUUUCUGAUUUUUUUUUGAGAGUUAAGAUAGUAGUCAAUCCUUCAUCAGUGAAGGGAUUAUUUGAUACCAGAUUAUUUGAUUUAUGCGGAAGCGUUUUAGUUGGUGUUUCCACCUUUUGAAUUGAAUUUGGAAUCCCUUCAAUAACACUUAGUGUCUCAGGAUUUGAAAUAUCAGGGAGCCCUGGUCGUUGCCUCUGGACUCUUAUGUUUAGGAUCUGACUGGUCAGAUUCAAGAUACAUUUGAUGUGUGAUCCAAGUGCACAUGUGUACACAAGGGCCUCACCAAGAUAUGAGUACAUCAUUAUUGCUAACAUGACAGGAAAGAAUGUAGUAUAUUCAUGAAUAAUUACAUAGACAUAACAUAAAUAGUGUGUAUAGAGUCUAUAAGUGAUUAUGCACCAGAGGGCAUUUGAUGUUGCCAUCCUGCAUUUUGUCCUAGCAUAUAUGAAAGGAAGUAGUAUAUGAAGUAUAACAUGAAGUGUAUGUGCAAGUGAAUGUUUCUGAAAUGUAUCAUGUGACUGAUCCAGGGCAUACAGGUUUGCAUCACCAGCAUAACGCAUUAUGUAAGCAGAAAUACAUGUGCAUGUAAGUAUCCAUUGACAGAAACAUUUAUAGACAGCAGAUACAAGCAUGCAUGUAGGGUGUGUAGCAUGAGGUGUGUUUAAGGUGUCUUUUGCACAGCAUAUGCACACGAGCAGCAUGUGUAUGAGAUAUAAUAUGAUGCAUACAUGAAUACACAGUAGAUCAUGAAACAGAGAUGAAUCAUUUUGCCUUAGGGAUGAGUCAUAUAACACAGACACACACGAUAAACAUAUAUUUGAUGACAUGCAUAGAGUGUAUAAUGAAAAUACAUACAAUGAUUUUUUGUAUAUUUCAGAGCAGAGUAUCAUGUAUCGAUCUAGGGUUUUAGAUUUACCAAACGCGGUUUGAAGAUGGCCCAGAGAGCGGAGAUGUAUCGAUCGAGUGGAAGAACUUUUGAUUUGGGGGUCCCAGAACGGCGGUCGACGCAGUGCUUCACGAUGGCUCUGAUACCAUGAAGAAAGCUGAGCGCGUAGGGUGGAGCGUGAGUCGGAGCGACGCUGGGAUCGGAGGCGACAGUGAGGAGUCGGUUGGGAGAGAAGACGGAGCGUUUGGAAACCCUAGGGUUUUGUUUUAGAUUUAAUUUGAAAAGUUGGAGAUAAAUUAUUACAACAUAGAAUUUAUACUAACUCUCUAAUGGGCCUUGAGUAUGGGCCAAUCUUAAACUACUAAAUUAAUCCAUUCUAAUUUGAAUUAGACACUUAAUCCUUGAAUACUUCAAUAUCAUCAGAUGUUAUCAAUGUGAAGUAUACGUUCAAUGUGAUGUAUUGUUCAUUUCUAUACCUAGUUGUGUGUUCAGUUAUAUAUCGAAUUGUAUAUACGUUCAUGUAUAUAUGUAGUUGCAUGUUCAGGUAUAUAAUUAAUUGCAUGUUCAUGUAUAUAACUAGUAGCAUGUUAAGGUAUAUAACUAGGGACAGGUUCAGGUAUAUAACUAGUUGCAUGUUAAGGUAUAUACUAGGUUCAGGUUCAAGUAUAUAACUAGUUGCCUUUUAAGGUAUAUAACUA